UCCUGGCUCAGGAUGAACGCUGGCGGCGUGCCUAACACAUGCAAGUCGAGCGAAGCACUUCAUUAGAACUCUUCGGAGGGACGAGGAAGUGACUGAGCGGCGGACGGGUGAGUAACGCGUGGGCAACCUGCCUUACACAGGGGGAUAACAGUUAGAAAUGACUGCUAAUACCGCAUAAGACCACAUUGCCGCAUGGCAGGGUGGUAAAAACUCCGGUGGUGUAAGAUGGGCCCGCGUCUGAUUAGGUAGUUGGCAGGGUAGAGGCCUACCAAGCCUACGAUCAGUAGCCGGCCUGAGAGGGUGGACGGCCACAUUGGGACUGAGACACGGCCCAAACUCCUACGGGAGGCAGCAGUGGGGAAUAUUGCACAAUGGGGGAAACCCUGAUGCAGCGACGCCGCGUGAGUGAGGAAAUAUUUCGGUAUGUAAAGCUCUAUCAGCAGGGAAGAAAAUGACGGUACCUGACUAAGAAGCCCCGGCUAACUACGUGCCAGCAGCCGCGGUAAUACGUAGGGGGCAAGCGUUAUCCG
Molecule: ribosomal RNA, 530 nt
Filed under: uncultured bacterium
Lineage: Bacteria
Description: bacterial SSU rRNA
Rfam family: Bacterial small subunit ribosomal RNA
Source: RNAcentral